This 852-nucleotide ribosomal RNA is filed under the name Triticum aestivum (bread wheat). Its description in RNAcentral is "partial small subunit ribosomal RNA". Lineage: Eukaryota; Viridiplantae; Streptophyta; Magnoliopsida; Poales; Poaceae. The record is from RNAcentral.
AUGGCUACUACGAGUGUUUGUCCACUCUAUGGAGGGCAGGACAGUUGGCGUCAUUCCUUGCUGGAUUGUAAUGUGUCUCGGUGCGUGUGGGCAUUGUCAGAGGCCGAGCUGGUCGAGCACAUGUUGGCAACAUCGGAAACAGAUGCAAGGCUAUGGCUUUUUGCUAUGAGCGAGUCACUUCCAACGGAGCAAUUUAAGUUGAUGAUCGUCACCUUGUGGGCUAUCUGGAGUGCACGACGGAAAGCCAUACAUGAAGAGAUCUUCCAGACCCCAUUUGCCACUGACAACUUCAUCAAAUCCUACUUGUCAGACAUAGAAUUCUUGAAGGAGAAGGAGAUAACACAGGUGAUAGUGGUACCGCGACCGAGGACGUGGGUGCCGCCACCCACAGACCACUUCAAGUUUAAUGUGGACGCUGUCGUGUCCCGCUCAGGCAUCUUCGGCGCAGUUGGAGUGGUUUGCAGGGAUGCAAGGGAUUUGUUCAUGGGAGCUUCGACCCUCGUUUUCAGGGGACUCCGUGACCCCCAGGUGCUAGAAGCACUAGCUGUACGGGAGGCAUUGGCACUUUCAGAAGAUCUCUACCUCAACCAAAUAUUGGUGGCCUCGGAUUGUAAGGUGGUGAUAGAUGCGAUCAGGGAAGGAAGCUCAGCAAACUUUGGUGCCAUUGUUCAAGAGAUCAAGGCUAGAGCAACUACCUUUAUUUCAUGUUUGUUUAGUCAUAAGUAUAGGACCUCCAAUACAGAGGCCCAUAAUCUCGCAAAGUAUGCUUUAUCUUUAGGGUUUGGCCGUCACACCUGGCUAGGCCAGCCCGGCGAUCUUGUCUUUGUACCGAUGAACAUUCUGAUUCAGUAA